Non-coding RNA from Chlorocebus sabaeus (green monkey), 1350 nucleotides. The record is from RefSeq and is a predicted model, not a curated record. NCBI's taxonomy places the organism in Eukaryota, Metazoa, Chordata, Mammalia, Primates, Cercopithecidae.
CUAGGAUCAAGCAAUCCUCCCACCUCAGCCUCCCGAGGAGCUGGGCCUACAGGAGUCAGAGCCUGACAAAGUGAAGAGAUGAUGCCGUGCCUGGGAGGGUGGCUGGAGAGUCCCCCAUCACUGCUAGUAUGGGAACGGUGAUGGUUUGCAGAGAGGAGGUGUGGAUAGAAGGGCCAUCAGAAAAGAGGAGGGAAGAGCUGGAGCUGUGAAGAAAGAUGAGAUCAUUGAGAGCUGUUGACUCCCAAGAAUCAAAACGAAGCCCUGCUCUGAGGCUUGUGGGUGAGCGUGGUGACCCUCCUUUCUUCUGAAGUGUCUUCAUGUCUUCUCAUUUUUACGUAGUUGUGGCUACUCUUUGGGGAAAGUGUGGCUUCUUUUCUCUUUCUGCACAGAAGCAAUGCAAGGUUAUAGACUCUGGAAUAUAACCAGAAUAUGGACUCUGGAAUAUGGCCAGAAGGAGCCACGAGAAGGGUAGGGGAAAUGUCUGUUUUACAGAAGAGGACCCUGAAUCUUAGCUUGCCGAAGCCACAGAGCUCACAGGGGAAUUUAGUUUAUUGACUUCUAGCUUGGAAUUCUUUGUUACACAAGUGUUGAGGAUCAGAAAAUAAUGCCCCAAAUGUGGCAUUUGACAAGCUGAACUAAAGCAAGCUCUCUCUCUCUUGACUUUCCCCCACCAUGGUGUCUUUCUGACCCUUUCUUUUCUUUCUUUCUUUUCUUUUCUUUUUUUUUUUUUUUUUUUUUUUUUUUGACACUCUUCUAAAGCACUAGGAGCAUGCUAUCUCUCUCUGACCCUUUCUUUCCUUUUUUUUGGACCCUUUCUUUUUCUAAAGCACCAGGAGGAGCUCUUUCUCUGGAAGUUCUCUUACCUGAUUGAGAAAACUUCUUCUAAAAUAAAUGCAGUUGUCUUAAAGCCCCCUCCCUAUGAGUCUCAUUAAAUAACCAGGAAUGAUUAAUCACCCAAAAAAAGACUAAAAAAGAAGCUACAGCCAGGAUACCAUACCAGACAGACUUUUCAUCAUUUCUUCUGAGGGCAGUUUCAAGAGAUAACCUGGGAGACUAUAUCCGCAUAAUAAGACAACCUUGGUUCACAGUGCAGUACCACCCCUCACCUUUCAUGACUUGUCCACAAGCUAUUGUUUGUCCUUCAGUCCCAUUCAGCGUCCAAAGAGAAUCAUUUACAAACCACUGUCAGGUCUUUGAGUCCAUUCAUUUAAAGCCCCCCCACUUCCCUUUCCCCAGUGAAGAGAGUACUUAAGUGCCAACCAUUGGGCCUUUCUGUGUAUGUUCAUAUUUUUUAUAUGGCUCCCCUGCUUCAUGCAUGUUAAUAAAUUUGUUAUGUUUUUCUCCUGUUAA